RNAcentral lists this ribosomal RNA (484 nucleotides) under uncultured bacterium. RNAcentral's name for it is "partial 16S ribosomal RNA". It matches the Rfam family "Bacterial small subunit ribosomal RNA", at positions 28 to 523 of the family's 1533-position model. The record is from RNAcentral.
GACGAACGCUGGCGGCGUGCUUAACACAUGCAAGUCGAACGAUGAAGCCGGAGCUUGCUCUGGUGAAUUAGUGGCGAACGGGUGAGUAACACGUGAGUAACCUGCCCUUGACUCUGGGAUAACUGCUAGAAAUGGUAGCUAAUACCGGAUACGACCCUCGGCGGCAUCGCCAGGGGGUGGAAAGAAUUUCGGUCAAGGAUGGACUCGCGGCCUAUCAGCUAGUUGGUGAGGUAACGGCUCACCAAGGCGACGACGGGUAGCCGGCCUGAGAGGGUGACCGGCCACACUGGGACUGAGACACGGCCCAGACUCCUACGGGAGGCAGCAGUGGGGAAUAUUGUACAAUGGGCGCAAGCCUGAUGCAGCAACGCCGCGUGAGGGAUGACGGCCUUCGGGUUGUAAACCUCUUUUAGUAGGGAAGAAGCGAAAGUGACGGUACCUGCAGAAAAAGCACCGGCUAACUACAUGCCAGCAGCCGCCGUAA